Molecule: ribosomal RNA, 371 nt
Filed under: Karaftohelix capillata
Lineage: Eukaryota; Metazoa; Mollusca; Gastropoda; Stylommatophora; Camaenidae
Description: partial 16S ribosomal RNA
Rfam family: Bacterial large subunit ribosomal RNA
Source: RNAcentral
AUGGCCGCAGUACUCUGACUGUGCAAAGGUAGCAUAAUCAUUUGGCUUAUAAUUGAAGUCUGGUAUGAACGAAGACAUGGGGGGAACCUAUCUGCUAUUCGUAACAAUAAAUUACUGAUUAAGUGAAAAUACUUAUAGUUAAAUAAUAGACGAGAAGACCCUAGAAAUUUUUAAAGACUUUAUAUAUUUAUACUUCUGGUUUUUGUUGGGGCGACACAGUAGCAAUUAACCUGCUAAGAUACUAUAGGUAGCCGAUAUCGGCAGCAUAUCUAAAUUACUCUAGGGAUAACAGCAUAAUAUUGUAAAGUUUGUGACCUCGAUGUUGGACUAGGAUGUGGUAGCCCAGAAGGUGCUCCUCCAGGCUCUGUUCG